AAUACUUAUACCAACAAGUUAGUCAAAAAAAAUUUGUUAACAAUGAAACUCUAUGUUUUUAUCCUUUUCUUUGUGUCUCUCUUGAUUAGCUCGUCUGGACGUAUGACAACAGUGAAGCCGGUUGAACUAACAUGCGACCCAAACAACCUUCCAAUAGUUCGAAUUAUGUUUUGCGAAAAUAGUGAUUGCCAAGCAAAAUGUCUUCAGAAUUUUGGCGCUAGUGGAACAAAAAAUGCUGCUUGUUUUGGCAGAGACACUUGUGUCUGUUGUAAUGACAAUUAGAUAGAUUAAUUAAUUGCAUGAUCAUGCAUUGAGAAAUUUCACUGAAUAAACGUUAAUAUUUUGUGUUAUUACCAGACUAAUACAUGGCAACUAUUAUAGAA
Molecule: non-coding RNA, 383 nt
Organism: Cicer arietinum (chickpea)
Lineage: Eukaryota; Viridiplantae; Streptophyta; Magnoliopsida; Fabales; Fabaceae
Source: RefSeq, a predicted model, not a curated record